GUGCUCUUGGUGCCCCCCCCAACAUGGCGGCGCCCAGGCCAGCACACAGCCGCGCGCGCGCCGCCUCCCCGCGCUCUGAUUGGCCGAGCGCUGCCCCGCGCCGGCCGCCGAUUGGUCGGGGCGCGGAUCACGUGGUGGGCCGGAAAGACGGCGCGGUUGCCGCGGCAACGGGGGCGGGGCUAAAGGGGCGGGGGGUCACGUGAGCGGCGCGCGGCCGGCGGCGACUUCCGGGAGAGAAACGGAACCGAACUGGGACAAACUGGGAGAGAACUGGGAGAGAACUGGGACCAAACUGGGCCAGGAUCCCGGCUGCUGUUUGGGUGUCCCGGCUGUUCCCGGCUGUUCCCGGUGCCGUCCCGGUGUCCCGGUGCUGUCCCGGUGCCCGCCGGUGCCGAUGCCGCUGCCGGUGACGCUCCAGUCCCGCCUGGCCAAGCGGGGGCUGCUCAAACACCUGGAGCCCGGUGAGGGGCGGGGCCGGGAAAAUGGGCGGGGCCGGGAGAAAUGGGCGGGGGCGGGGAAGUGGGCGGGGCCGGGAGAAAUGGGCGGG
RNAcentral lists this long non-coding RNA (547 nucleotides) under Lonchura striata (white-rumped munia). RNAcentral's name for it is "domestica (Bengalese finch) lncRNA (ENSLSDG00000003235.1)". Lineage: Eukaryota; Metazoa; Chordata; Aves; Passeriformes; Estrildidae. The record is from RNAcentral.